Molecule: long non-coding RNA, 699 nt
Filed under: Homo sapiens (human)
Lineage: Eukaryota; Metazoa; Chordata; Mammalia; Primates; Hominidae
Description: HSALNT0139990
Source: RNAcentral
GAGAGAAGUAAUACGACACGUAAAGAAACCUGGAUUGAAACAAAGAAAUGAAGAACACUAGAAAUGAAAUAAAUAAAGGUAUCCUGGCUUCCUCCCACACCCCAAAGCUGUGCACACGAGGUGAACUAGCGUACCCACAUGGACCUCAUCUGUGUGAGUGUGGGUGUGUUUGAGUGCACCCUCUGAUGGCAUAUCAUCCUGUCCAGGGUCGUUCUUCUAUUGCUCUGAACUGCCAGGAGUGGCUCUACCCACCUGUGACCCCAAACUCGUCUCAGCAGGUAAAUAAUUACCUUACUUGUUUUUAUUAAUCUGUCUUACAUGUAUGCAUCACUCACAUUUAUUUCAAAGUUUAAUAUUAGAAGAGUUUUUGUCUUCAUUUAGAAGUUUGGUGGUGGUGUUUUCAUGACCAGAAAUAUACUAUAGAAACUUAACUCUGGUUUAUAUUAAUUAGCUUAUGGUAAAAUUGAUUUCCUAUAGGUCAUUUCACUUAAAGUUACAGUUUUCAAGGAUCUAUUGAGGGUAUUAAGAGAUGACUUACUGUUUACUGCACAAACACAGUAAUUGCUAAAAUUUAAUAAGACUAAUAAAACCAAGUGUGGGGACGUUAUGCAGAGAAACUGAAAGCAUUGUACUAUACAGGUGGGCAUGUAAAAUGGUUAUACUUUGGAAUACUAUUUAUCUUUCCACAUAAAUUUAAUC